UUUGCAGAUUUGAAUGACAUCUCCUCCCUUUCCUGAUUUUUUAGUUUUUCGUUCUCUCUCUUCCUUUAUUUUUCUCUCUCCUCCUAUAAAUCCUCUUGUUCGACUUUAUGUUCAAUGUUCGAUUUUCAGGAUUUCAGGUUCUUCAAUGUUCAAGUUUCAUUGUUCCUAAAAAAAUUUCUUCUUAUUGCGAUUUUCUCUCUUUCAAUUCGCCAGAGGAUCACCACUAAUGCUGGUGUUAAUGAGGGUGAUGUGGGUGACAAUGUGGAUUUAAUUAGUGGACUACCUGAUGAUAUACUGGUCUACUUGUUACCUUUGGUGGAAAUGUAAACAGCAGCAAGAACUAGCCUUCUUUCCAAAAGGUGGAGAUAUGUUUGGACUUACCUAAUUCAUUCGGAUUUUGAUGUCCCUAGGUUUUACUCGAUCCUCGAUAACCCGACUUUUUAUCAAGUAGAUAAAUAUCAUCAAUGAGUUCAACAGGUAAUAACCAUCUAUCGUACCCCAUGGCUAAGUACCUUCAGAUUACAUUUCCUGCUCCAUGGCCUAUAUGUUGUUGAUAUUGAUAAGUGGGUCAGAAUUGCCUUUUACAAAAACGUUCAUAACCUGGAGUUGAACUUAAAUACUUUCGCUUUGUCAUAUUUGGUUUCCGUGAUGGAUUACUGCAGGUACAUUUCAGUAAUUAUUGUGCUGGCAUCUGACAUUUGAUGCAGAACCAAAGAAGACGAUUCAACAGAUUGCAAGAGGACUUAUAGGGUCUGUCAUUCACAUGAAGUUUACUCAUAUAAGCACUUUCAUUCUGGAAAUAUUUGUAUUUGUUUUGUGUGUUACUCAUUCGUCCCUGAUCUUGGUUACUAGGAAUCAGUACUUAAGCCUCUAUCUAGCCAAUAACAAAGUUUUCGAUGCAUGUUCUCAAAAAUGAGCCAACACACCUUAAAGAAUUAAGUUUACUUUUACAGAAAUUUAGUUUACUUUUAUAGAGAUUUAGUCUACUUUAAGAUAAAUAGGCAUUGGAGGGUAGUGUUUUGGUUUGUGAUUUACUUUUAUUUAUUCUAUUUAAAAACAUUAGCCUACUAGCUCAAUAGUAGAGAAUUUGUGAAAAUGCACAAAAGAUGUGGGUUCGAAUCCCACGUAGGUUCAUCUUUACUUUUUGUAUUGUUUUAUUUACUUUUAAUGUGAAAACCUUUACUUUGAAUUA
This is a long non-coding RNA of Spinacia oleracea (spinach), 1192 nucleotides long. RefSeq lists it as uncharacterized. The record is from RefSeq and is a predicted model, not a curated record. The transcript has 2 exons. NCBI's taxonomy places the organism in Eukaryota, Viridiplantae, Streptophyta, Magnoliopsida, Caryophyllales, Amaranthaceae.